CAGGGAGACAACAACUGAUCGUGAUGUCUGAGUUAAUUAUGCUUAGGCCAUGAUCCUGUCACCUUAGGUCGAUCGGUACCUCAAGUUCAUGAUAAUAAUGACUUAUAUAAGUUCGUAUUAUUUAACUUCAGUUCCUAAACUUGUCUAGGUCACACCCAACAAAAGGGUACUCCUGGGCCAUUAGCUCAGGUGGUUAGAGCGCACCCCUGAUAAGGGUGAGGUCCCUGGUUCAAGUCCAGGAUGGCCCAUUCGUGUUGGGGGUAUAGCUCAGUUGGUAGAGCGCCUGCUUUGCAAGCAGGAUGUCAGCGGUUCGAGUCCGCUUACCUCCACUGAUCACACUCCUAAUGGCGAAAAAUAAGGAGAUUACCUUUGAGUUGUGACUUAGAAAUUGUUUUAACUGGAUCAAUGAACCUAGCUUCCUAUCAUUCCAGGUCUAAUUAUUAGAUGAGGUUGACAGGACGCUGGGCUCACUUAAGUCUUUUUUGAUUUGAGUGAUUUCAGUAGAACCUUGACAACUGCAUAGGUGAGUCUGGAAAGAAAAAGCAUCUCAUGGAUAUUAUUCUUUGAAUUCUUGAGCAAUUCUCCAAAGGAAUUAAUUAGGUAAUUCAACAAGAAGAAUAAUAAUUCUUGAGCAAGAGCAGAGACUCUAUAGUUUCCCUCAGUAUUUUUAUUGAGGUGAUUAAGAUUCAAGUGAUUAUUCAAUUUGAAUUCUAAUUAUUAGAUAACUAUAGAAAUUAUU
Molecule: transfer RNA, 739 nt
Filed under: uncultured cyanobacterium
Lineage: Bacteria; Bacillati; Cyanobacteriota
Description: partial 16S-23S ribosomal RNA intergenic spacer
Rfam family: tRNA (bases 257-329)
Source: RNAcentral